This 405-nucleotide long non-coding RNA is filed under the name Helianthus annuus (common sunflower). RNAcentral's name for it is "sRNA HanXRQr2_Chr08g0338091". Lineage: Eukaryota; Viridiplantae; Streptophyta; Magnoliopsida; Asterales; Asteraceae. The record is from RNAcentral.
UUAGCUCCGGUGAGAACCUGCUUUCCUGAACCAGGGGAACGCAUCCGGCAAGCACAAUAGGUUGGCAAGCACAAUAGGUUGUGGUGCAUCUAGAGGGCGGUGUUCAUAUCAAUCGGUGGUGUUCGAUUGUCUAUUAGGGCAGUGGGAAGGUUGUUUUCGCUGUGUCAUUCAAUGGAUACUUCUUGCCAAGUUUUUAGGGAUGGUCAUCGGGCGGUAUGAUGGUGAGUUUGCGGGUUCUGGCGAGGCAGUGAUUGACCAAGAUAAUUUGAAAACUUUCUGUGGUCAUAAAGUAUAGAUGUGGAACUCCAGGAACUGCCAAGAAGAAAGGAAUAACAUGACCAGGAACAUACAUUCAAGAACUGAAGUGUUCAUAGUAAUUAAGAUAGUCGUAGAGUAUUAUUGGCG